Molecule: ribosomal RNA, 274 nt
Filed under: uncultured bacterium
Lineage: Bacteria
Description: partial 16S ribosomal RNA
Rfam family: Bacterial small subunit ribosomal RNA
Source: RNAcentral
AUACGGAGGGGGCUAGCGUUGUUCGGAUUUACUGGGCGUAAAGCGCACGUAGGCGGUAUAUCAAGUUAGGCGUGAAAGCCCCGGGCUCAACCCGGGAACUGCGCUUAUUACUGAUAAACUAGAGUCCGGGAGAGGGUAGCGGAAUUCCCAGUGUAGAGGUGAAAUUCGUAGAUAUUGGGAAGAACACCAGUUGCGAAGGCGGCUACCUGGACCGGUACUGACGCUGAGGUGCGAAAGCGUGGGGAGCAAACAGGAUUAGAUACCCCAGUAGUCC